This 253-nucleotide ribosomal RNA is filed under the name uncultured bacterium. Its description in RNAcentral is "partial 16S ribosomal RNA". It matches the Rfam family "Bacterial small subunit ribosomal RNA", at positions 524 to 776 of the family's 1533-position model. The record is from RNAcentral.
UACGGGGGGGGUAAGCGUUGUUCGGAAUUACUGGGCGUAAAGGGCUCGUAGGCGGCCAACUAAGUCAGACGUGAAAUUCCUCAGCUUAACUGGGGAACUGCGUCUGAUACUGGAUGGCUUGGAUCCGGAAGAGGGAUGCGGAAUUCCAGGUGUAGCGGUGAAAUGCGUAGAUAUCUGGAGGAACACCGGUGGCGAAGGCGGCAUCCUGGGCCGGUAUUGACGCUGAGGAGCGAAAGCCAGGGGAGCAAACGGG